RNAcentral lists this ribosomal RNA (253 nucleotides) under uncultured bacterium. Its description in RNAcentral is "partial 16S ribosomal RNA". It matches the Rfam family "Bacterial small subunit ribosomal RNA", at positions 524 to 776 of the family's 1533-position model. The record is from RNAcentral.
UACGAAGGGGGCUAGCGUUGUUCGGAAUUACUGGGCGUAAAGCGUGCGCAGGCGGUCUCUCAAGUCAGGGGUGAAAGCCCAGAGCUCAACUCUGGAACUGCCCUUGAAACUGUGAGGCUCGAGUACGGGAGAGGUGAGUGGAAUUCCCAGUGUAGAGGUGAAAUUCGUAGAUAUUGGGAAGAACACCGGUGGCGAAGGCGGCUCACUGGCCCGUUUCUGACGCUCAUGCACGAUAGCGUGGGGAUCAAACAGG